CAGCUAGCCCAAUCACCCAAUAACUAAACAAUGUAAAUAAAACAAAAUAAGCCUAACACCAAAAAUUAAAUCAUUCUUUUACCUUAGUAUGGGCGACAGAAAAGGUUACACCUGGAGCAAUAGAAAAAGUACCGCAAGGGAAAGCUGAAAGAGAAGUGAAACAACUUAUAUAAGCACUAAAAAGCAAAGAUUAAAUCUUGUACCUUUCGCAUCAUGAUUUAGCCAGUAUACCCAAGCAAAGAGACCUUUAGUUUGAAACCCCGAAACCAAGUGAGCUACCCCGAGACAGCCUAUUAAGGGCCAACCCGUCUCUGUGGCAAAAGAGUGGGAAGAGCUCCGGGUAGAGGUGACAAACCUACCGAACUUGGUGAUAGCUGGUUGCCUAAGAAAUGAAUAGAAGUUCAGCCUCGUUCUCCCCGAAUCAAAAAGUAAAAAGAUACUAGAGGGAAACAUACGAGAGUUAGUUGAAGGGGGUACAGCCCCUUUAACGAAGGACACAACCUUUCCAGGAGGAUAAAGAUCAUAAUACAUAAGACAUCCUGUUCUAGUGGGCCUAAAGGCAGCCAUCUAAACAGAAAGCGUUAAAGCUCAGACAGAAAUAAGUUUAUUAUUCCGACAAGAAAUCUUACUCCCCUAAUAUUAUUAGGCCAGCCCAUGCCCACAUGGGAGAGACUAUGCUAAAAUGAGUAACAAGAAGGCAAGCCCUUCUCCAAGCACAAGUGUAAGCCAAACCGGACUAACCAUUGGCAAUUAACGAACUCAACCCAAGAGAGCAAUGUGGACUAUAAUAAAACCAGGAAGAACCCACAACCGACCUAUCGUUACCCCCACACUGGUGUGCUAUUAACGGAAAGACUAAAAGAAGGGAAAGGAACUCGGCAAACACAAGCCUCGCCUGUUUACCAAAAACAUCGCCUCCUGCAACACAACCAAGUAUAGGAGGUCCAGCCUGCCCAGUGACUACAAGUUCAACGGCCGCGGUAUUUUGACCGUGCAAAGGUAGCGCAAUCACUUGUCUCUUAAAUAGAGACCUGUAUGAAUGGCUAAACGAGGGCUUAACUGUCUCCCCCCUCCAGUCAGUGAAAUUGAUCU
Molecule: ribosomal RNA, 1092 nt
Filed under: Ptychobarbus conirostris
Lineage: Eukaryota; Metazoa; Chordata; Actinopteri; Cypriniformes; Cyprinidae
Description: partial 16S ribosomal RNA
Rfam family: Bacterial large subunit ribosomal RNA (bases 182-1088)
Source: RNAcentral